UGGUAUGGAGUGUACUAAGGCUUACUUUAGUAUUGAGAUUCAUACGGCACAAUUAGAUAAAAUAUAGUUGGAAUAAAAAUAUACAGUAAUAUAUUUCUGCAUUUUUCGGUUAGAUCGUAGAAAAUAUAUUGUAAUAUGCGAAACAUAAUAUUACGUACGAAAACAAUAAUGAUAUUUUCCUAUUACACUUUCUCACCGCACAUAACACAAUCCCUCUGCAAUUCCAGUGAAGCCUAAGUUGCCAAUACAGUGAGAUUUUUUAGAAAAAAGGAUAAUUGCCCAUAUAUCCUUCAAAACUUCAAAAAUAUCUAAUUUAUCCUCUCUUUUUUUUUUUCAAAUAUACCCCUCAUAUGUUCUUCCAGUAAUUCAAAUAUACUUCCGCAGUUACCACCCAUUAAGUUAUCUCGAGUUAAACAUGAGUUAAAUAUUUAUCAGAGUUUUAAAAAAAUCAAAAUAUUUUUUCGCCCUUAAUUUAAGGGCAAAUAAGAAAAGUUGGUGAUGAUAAAAGAAUAUAUUUGAAAAGAUAAAAAAAUAAAGUACUUAUUUUGUUCCUAACUUAAGGACAAAUGAAAAAAGUUGGUGAUGAUAGAAGAUUUGAAGGGCAAAAGGUUAAAAUAUCUCUUUUGUCUCUAACUUAAGGACAAAUGAAAAAAGUUGGUGAUGAUAGAAGAUUAUAUUUGAAAUGAUAAAAUAAUUAGUUUAUAGAGAUAACGGCUGUUACUAACCGUGUACUAAUAGAAAUUUAUCUAUAGGGUAUAUUUGAAAUAACUUGAAACGUUAAAAGAUUAAUUUUAAUAUUAGUCUUCUAAAAGUGAUAAAUCAGAAAGUCGAAAACUUUCCAGAAAUAUAUAAGCAAUUGCCCCUAAAAGGAAUGUACAGAGCUUUAUGUGAUUUAUAAACAAUUUUGAACGGGCGAUUCAACCUUUUAAAAUUUUAGUUUUGCUAUUUGAUCUUCCAAUUUGUUCUUGAACCCGCCAACGAUAUUUUUGGCUUCAGAAUUUAAACUAAUAACUUUUAUUUAAUUUAUAGUAAUGGGAAUUGCUUGAACUAUAUUAACUAAAAUAGUAAUGAUAAA
Molecule: long non-coding RNA, 1075 nt
Filed under: Ananas comosus (pineapple)
Lineage: Eukaryota; Viridiplantae; Streptophyta; Magnoliopsida; Poales; Bromeliaceae
Description: long non-coding RNA (ACOM_LNC039167)
Source: RNAcentral